CGAGCGGGGGAACNGAUAAUUGCUACUGGACCUAGCGGCGGACGGGUGAGUAAUGCUUAGGAAUCUGCCUAUUAGUGGGGGACAACAUCUCGAAAGGGAUGCUAAUACCGCAUACGUCCUACGGGAGAAAGCAGGGGAUCUUUGGACCUUGCGCUAAUAGAUGAGCCUAAGUCGGAUUAGCUAGUUGGUGGGGUAAAGGCCUACCAAGGCGACGAUCUGUAGCGGGUCUGAGAGGAUGAUCCGCCACACUGGGACUGAGACACGGCCCAGACUCCUACGGGAGGCAGCAGUGGGGAAUAUUGGACAAUGGGGGGAACCCUGAUCCAGCCAUGCCGCGUGUGUGAAGAAGGCCUUAUGGUUGUAAAGCACUUUAAGCGAGGAGGAGGCUACUUUAGUUAAUACCUAGAGAUAGUGGACGUUACUCGCAGAAUAAGCACCGGCUAACUCUGUGCCAGCAGCCGCGGUAAUACAGAGGGUGCGAGCGUUAAUCGGAUUUACUGGGCGUAAAGCGUGCGUAGGCGGCUUAUUAAGUCGGAUGUGAAAUCCCCGAGCUUAACUUGGGAAUUGCAUUCCAUACUGGUGAGCUAGAGUAUGGGAGAGGAUGGUAGAAUUCCCGGUGGGGCGCCGAGGU
This 631-nucleotide ribosomal RNA is filed under the name Acinetobacter baumannii. RNAcentral describes it as "bacterial SSU rRNA". It matches the Rfam family "Bacterial small subunit ribosomal RNA", at positions 63 to 687 of the family's 1533-position model. The record is from RNAcentral. Lineage: Bacteria; Pseudomonadati; Pseudomonadota; Gammaproteobacteria; Moraxellales; Moraxellaceae.